Molecule: ribosomal RNA, 279 nt
Filed under: uncultured bacterium
Lineage: Bacteria
Description: partial 16S ribosomal RNA
Rfam family: Bacterial small subunit ribosomal RNA
Source: RNAcentral
UGCCAGCCGCCGCGGUAAUACGGAGGGUGCAAGCGUUAAUCGGAAUUACUGGGCGUAAAGCGUGUGUAGGCGGUCUGCUAAGUCGGAUGUGAAAGCCCCGGGCUUAACCUGGGAAUUGCAUUCGAUACUGGUAGACUUGAAUUUGGUAGAGGAAAGUGGAAUUCCGGGUGUAGCGGUGAAAUGCGUAGAUAUCCGGAGGAACAUCAGUGGCGAAGGCGGCUUUCUGGACCAAAAUUGACGCUGAGGCACGAAAGCGUGGGUAGCAAACAGGAUUAGAUA